This is a long non-coding RNA of Aegilops tauschii subsp. strangulata, 3489 nucleotides long. RefSeq lists it as uncharacterized. Lineage: Eukaryota; Viridiplantae; Streptophyta; Magnoliopsida; Poales; Poaceae. The record is from RefSeq and is a predicted model, not a curated record.
CACCGCUGCAAAUCACUGCUUCCCUUUGCGAAGGGACUAUCUAUUUACCUAUUUACUUUUAUGUUUUGUCAUCACCUUCUCAUAUAAGCGCCAAAUCUGAGAGCACUAUUGUCAUCCUCAUGCAUUGUGUAUAGCUAAUGUUGGGUGCAUCAUGACUGGAUCUUUUCUAUUAUAAAUUACAAUGUUUAAUCGUUGCUUGAACUUUGGAGGUGCUCUGCAUUUAUAUUUUGCGGUCUCAGAAAGGGCUGGCGAGAUACCACUAUCUUUCUCUAAUAUUAUUUAUAUAUAUAUAUAUAUGACAAAUUUUAUCUACCACCAGUGGUAGUUACCACCACUUGAGUUUGUAUGUCGUAUGUAGUAUCUAUCAAAUCAAAGAGUAUGUACACGUAGUAUGUAGUAUAUAAGAAUAUUUAGUUAGUAUAUAUACUAUUUUUUUUGAUACUAUGUAUCAUAUUUUAAGUAUGCUCCUUUUUACGUACAAAUAUAAUAAAAAUCAUGGGCCAACUUGCAAUUUUUUCAUGUAACUCACUUUGAAGUAUAUUAUAUAUAGUAUAUGAACAUACUUAAAACGAUAAAGUAGAAUAUAUACUACCACAUGGUAGUAUAUGAGACAUGUGAGGUAACUACCCCAGAUGAUAGGAUGGAUUUUCUAUAUAUAUAUAUAUAUAAAAUAAUAAUAAAAUGGCUAUCGCUUCUGCCCGUCCGCUCACCGUCAUUGUAAUUACCCUUGAACUUGCUGAAAAUUACCCACCGCUGCCAUCCUUAAGUCAGAAAGACGAUUCAUCUUAUAAUCGCCACACGAAAAAAAAAAAGAACGCACGCCUCAUCCGCAACCCGCAAUCACCGGCCCCAAAAAGAACGCAUCGCCGCCCUUUGCCUUCGCCCCCACUGCCGUCCGCGCCACCGCCCUUUGCCUCCGCCCCCAUCGCCGGUACGUACCGCUGCCCUUUGCUUCCGCCACACCGUCGUUCGCGCCGCCGCACUUUGCCUCCGCCACCACCGCCGUCCACGCCGCCGCACUUUGCCUCCGCCACCACCGCCGUCCGUGCCACCGCCCUUUGACGCCGCCUCCAUAGCCAUACCAGUACGAAAGAAAAAAUAACCUAGCCCCGCCACUUCCUCGCAGCGCUCCGCCCCGCCUCUGGCCACCUCCCCCCACCCCCACCCCCUGCCUCACCGCGCACCCUCAACCGCCCCCUGCCUCCCACCCCGGAGAAAGGUGAGUGCGGCUUCCAAUGGACGGAUCCAGACGGAGGAGGGUUAGGGAGGCGCGCGGAAGACCGACGAGGUUGGGAGGCACUGGAUACAAAGUUCGAGGUGGCGCCAUGGUUGCUCGGUGAGCUCCUGCAAGGGAACAUGGCGGGACGAGAUUUAAAGGGAGGUGUGAGAGAGAAGGGAAAGGGAGCGGCGGCGGAGACUCCGCUGCUCACCAGCGAGUGCGAGGUGUGGGGAAUGUCGAGCGCUGGGGCGCCAUGCGCAGCUGCGGCUGCGGGCGGUUGAAGACGCGGCCUUAGGUGAGCUGUUGUUGCGUUCGUGUGCGAGCGCCGUUCCGUCCGUCGGACUAAGGGAGGGUGGGUUGUGGAGACUUCGGGGUGGCUGGUGGAGGCUUUGGUCUUGUUGCAAGGCCGGAGGAGGCGACAAGUGGCGGCUCGCCAUGGCUGCACUGCACGGGAGCGGAGGCAGGCGUUCGGUGGCCAGUCCGUGUGGAUGCAAAUGAGAUCCAGCCGUGAUGAACAAAUAGCAGCAGACUGUGCUGCUCUUUUCCUCUUAUCUGAAUUUUCUGCAGAUGAGAUCCAGCCAUGAUAAACAAACACCAGCAGGCCGUGGCGUCAUGCUGCUCUCUUAUCUAUCUGAAUUUUCUGCAAUUCAGAGCCACCAAGGAAGAGAUGGACGAGGCCGUGCUGCUCCUUUCAUCUAUCUGAAUUGCUAUAUGAAAAUCUCUGAAUUUCCAAUCUGGAAGAUUAACGAGACGGCCGAUAGAUCGGUUUUGGUGGCAGCGCUGCUUUGGUAUCCCUGCUCCAUGGCAUGUGUUUUUCAUUGCCUCCUCCACGUAGCUCUCCCAGUAACAGUGAAGAUAGCUUGGUGUGGGCUAGUUCUUAAUUAAUCUAUGUCAACAACGUUUCAAACUUUCAAUAGCUAGAUUCAUGUGGGAUGUGAAAACCAGGGGCUGAUGAAAGGAUGCUUGGUGUGGAUGGCAUGCUUUAUUUGUUUUGGAGAAUUCUCAUGCAUCUUCUCAACUUUCUACUUAUUCUUUCUUUCCUUGAAACUAGCAGGUCAAUGUGUUGUGAAAAGUUUAUCUCAUCUAUGAUGAUACAAACCUUAAAUAUAAACUUUUCCUUACUACAUGUCCCCAGCUACAGUGAAGAUCUGGAUUCACUAAAAAACUAACUAAUAAGAGUUUGUUUUCUGUCAUUUUAAUUAUGUUUUUAGGGACAAUGGUGCUAACUAUGCAAAUCGAAACUAGAUUCAUUGUUUUAUUUUCCUAACCCUCCAUUGAUAUACGUAUGCUUCAAACUAUUGUAUUAUUUUCUGUUUUAUAAGUCUUUGGACAUGUUUCAACAUUGCUCUACAAGUAAUCACACUGCUGUCAGCAGGUAAGGCGAAUCACUUCAAAAAAUUCCCAUAUAUCUCGAGUAACUACAGAAGCAGGUGUGACAACGUUUGUGUGCUCACAAACUACCAAAGCAUAUUCUUCAUUAUAUGCUAGCAAUUUACUCAAAUUAUUAUCUAUUGUAUUAGUAACUUGAGCUUCGCAAUUUGUAUUUGAUGAUUAUGUUUCCCCCCUUUUAAUAUAGAUUUCCCUAUUUACAUUUAUUGCGAAAUUGCAGCUAGAUGUUUCCGCGCCACAACAGGUCCCCUCUAACAUAUUCUUUACGUCCAUUUUACGGAAGAUGUAAGUGUACAGAAAGAUUAACAUGGGUUACUCUUCUUUCAAGGGAGUAGCUACAUAGCUUAUGUAAAUUCUUAAUUGUCAUUUCCUAUUCAUGUACUGGCUGAGUUUUUAUUUAGAAGGUACUUUGUAGUUUCGAUGCAUUGUCGUGGAUUUGCAUUUUCUGAUUAAAAAUUGCCCUUUUAUUUUUUUCCUCUAAAAGGAUGAUUGCCUUUUUGUGAAGACCUUUGUGUUGAUAUUUUAGUUUAUGAUAACAUGUCACAUCAUUAGAGAAAUUUCAUCACUUUUUGCUGGUAUAAUUCUUCAAUAUCAUUUAUACUUCUAUAAAAAUCAUAAGGUGGUCUAGACGAUGAUCAUCAGGAUGCUUGUGUGCCAUAGUUGUCUUCUUAGCCCGGUGCCUUAACUAUUGUCUUGCUUUUUAUCUGCAGCCAUUGCAAUUCUCAAUAAUGCGACUCUUCUGUUCCAUAGUAAAGUUUUAGGUGAUCUGUAAUGAAAACAAAACUGCAGAGGAUAUAAGAAAUAUAUUAUCAUAUUCUUUUUGGGCCUACUGUAAAGUUACAUACUCCACUACAUAUAUGAUAUUUCUUUUGGAUGUUGAA